This 623-nucleotide long non-coding RNA is filed under the name Salvia miltiorrhiza (redroot sage). RNAcentral describes it as "long non-coding RNA (SMIL_LNC013015)". Lineage: Eukaryota; Viridiplantae; Streptophyta; Magnoliopsida; Lamiales; Lamiaceae. The record is from RNAcentral.
GGGGAGGGGGGGAGGUGUGGGGUGGCGAGUAAAAUAAACAAAAAUUUGGGGAUGGGGGUGGCGAGAAUUUUUUUUUAAAAAGAUAGGGGGUAGGGUGGGGGGUGAGGUUGUGGGUAGCAAGAAAUUUUUAUGUUUUUUGGGUGCAUGUUUCUGUGUAGUAAUAUGCUUAAGUCAGUUUUUUUUUUAAUAAUUUUAUUAAUAUUCAAUUUUUUAUCUUUUCGAUUUUACUCCGGUGCAGAUUUUGGUUUGUCCCUACAAAUAUAACACAAAAUAGUGAUGGAAGAGAGAUGCAAAAUAAUGCCAAUUUGAUAAAUCUAUACUAUAUUAAAAAGGGAGUUCUCAAUUUCAAAUUGAUUUCGAAUCAAUUUCAAAAUUGAGUGGCAGAUUUGUCAUUAUAAUAAAAUUAAAAGUUUAUUUAUAAGCUAUACAUAUUUUUUUUUUCUUUUUCUUUAACUUUUUUACUUUUCUAUUUUUUUCUAAUAUUGUGAAAUUCGAUCAAUUAUAAAAUAUUUGAUAUGCAUAUCAAAUUAAAGAUCAUGACAAGAGCUUUAAUUUGAUACUAUGUUAUGUAAAUAUUAGAUUUAAAAUAUAAAAAUUAUAUUUAUUUAAAGAUUAAAACUUGA